AGUAACGGCGAGUGAAGCGGCAACAGCUCAAAUUUGAAAUCUGGCCUUUGGCCCGAGUUGUAAUUUGUAGAGGAUGCUUUUGGUGCGGUGCCUUCCGAGUUCCCUGGAACGGGACGCCUUAGAGGGUGAGAGCCCCGUACGGUUGGACGCCUAGCCUCUGUAAAGCUCCUUCAACGAGUCGAGUUGUUUGGGA
RNAcentral lists this ribosomal RNA (193 nucleotides) under Fusidium sp. Its description in RNAcentral is "partial large subunit ribosomal RNA". It matches the Rfam family "Eukaryotic large subunit ribosomal RNA", at positions 82 to 279 of the family's 3401-position model. The record is from RNAcentral. Lineage: Eukaryota; Fungi; Ascomycota; Sordariomycetes; Hypocreales; Nectriaceae.